This 226-nucleotide ribosomal RNA is filed under the name uncultured fungus. RNAcentral describes it as "partial small subunit ribosomal RNA". The stretch from base 103 to 226 matches the Rfam family "Eukaryotic small subunit ribosomal RNA", at positions 739 to 864 of the family's 1831-position model. Lineage: Eukaryota; Fungi. The record is from RNAcentral.
GGCUUGGUGUCCCUGGCCCGCCACGGUUACGUGUGUGAGUGCCGGUGGACAUCGGCCAUCACUUCUAGGUUGCAUUCAUGCUCUUCACUGAGCCGUGAAUGUGUAUCUAGAUCUUUUACUUUGAAAAAAUUAGAGUGUUUCAAGCAGGCGUUUGCUAUGAAUACAUUAGCAUGGAAUAAUAAUUUAGGACUUCGGUUCUAUUUUGUUGGUUUCUAGAACGGAAGUA